GGCAUCCUGUUAAAAAACUGUCAGCUGUGAGCUCUUUAACAUUUUCUCUUCAGGCAUCCAUAAAUAUUCAGUGCUCUUGUACUGAAGGGCAGUUCUUUUAGACUUAAGGGUGUCUUGACAUCUUUAAAAUCUAAAAUCUGCCGAAAGUACUGGUGACCUUGUCACUUCCAGACCCGUGGAGAAAGGUAGAUGUUCAGUCCAAGGUCCUUGUUGCAGCAAACAUGGUUCCAGACUUAAUGGGGAAAGCACAAAGUAAAAGCAGGAACAAAAAUAUACUUUUCAUGGUCACAUUUGGGGUGUGACUGCAGGAACAUCUGAGCUGCCAUGAAAAGGCAGGAUCUGUCACACACUUUCUUCUCAUUUCCUCUUUCCUGCUGCCAGAUCUUCUGUCUUCUUUCCUGCUCUGCCUCCCCUUUGUAUUGAAGCUGUUGCUUAUCAGAGUGCUCUGGUCCUGCUUAGCUUGUUGAACUAAAUGGAAAACACUUCAUUAUCCCUUUUUUUGGAAGGAGAGAUGGAGGGGAAGGUUCAUUUUUUGCCAGGCUAGGGAGUUGUGCUGGCCCUCAGCAUCAUCUGAUGAGCUGGCAAAAUACAUACAACGUCAGCAUGUGACCAGAGAUGGCAAAAAGAGAAAAAUCUGGGGGUGUGGAAUGGGAAAUUUACUUUGUCCUGUGCAAUUUUAACUUCUGAUUUGUGGAUUUCUUCCCCUGAAACUGUAUUUACUGCUGUGAGAAUCCCUUGACUUGCACAGAGUGGAGCCUUGGACAAAAGGUUUCCCUGCACUCCUCUACGCCUCAGGAUAAAACAUGAAGUCUCCUUACAGAAGAGCAGAGAAGGAACAACGUUUGGGGAAUAAAAAGCAUUCCAUGGAAUCCCGGCCCUAACAAGCUGUAGGAGAUGUAAAACCCUCCAGGUCUUCUUUAUCCACAGACAAGAAUGUAGAGACAGCUACACUAAAUAUCCCACAGGGGCAUUUCUGCAGAAUAAAAGGAAAAAAGGAGCUGGAUGAGGAAUACCUCUGUGGAUGUGACACUAAGUGAAUUUUCCAGGGCAUCCCCCUCAAGAAGGGAUUUGAAAAUGGCUAUCUGGAUGUCAAGCGGUCAUGGUAAGCCUUGGAUUUGCCUUCCUUCUACCCAACAGCAUCAUCCAUGGUAGAAAUGAAACAU
Molecule: long non-coding RNA, 1163 nt
Organism: Passer domesticus (house sparrow)
Lineage: Eukaryota; Metazoa; Chordata; Aves; Passeriformes; Passeridae
Exons: 3
Source: RefSeq, a predicted model, not a curated record